Molecule: ribosomal RNA, 648 nt
Filed under: soil bacterium Dicl-S3F-M1LLLSSL-2
Lineage: Bacteria
Description: bacterial SSU rRNA
Rfam family: Bacterial small subunit ribosomal RNA
Source: RNAcentral
AAACUGCCUGAUGGAGGGGGAUAACUACUGGAAACGGUAGCUAAUACCGCAUAACGUCGCAAGACCAAAGAGGGGGACCUUCGGGCCUCUUGCCAUCAGAUGUGCCCAGAUGGGAUUAGCUAGUAGGUGGGGUAAUGGCUCACCUAGGCGACGAUCCCUAGCUGGUCUGAGAGGAUGACCACCCACACUGGAACUGAGACACGGUCCACACUCCUACGGGAGGCAGCAGUGGGGAAUAUUGCACAAUGGGCGCAAGCCUGAUGCAGCCAUGCCGCGUGUGUGAAGAAGGCCUUCGGGUUGUAAAGCACUUUCAGCGAGGAGGAAGGUGGUGAACUUAAUACGUUCAUCAAUUGACGUUACUCGCAGAAGAAGCACCGGCUAACUCCGUGCCAGCAGCCGCGGUAAUACGGAGGGUGCAAGCGUUAAUCGGAAUUACUGGGCGUAAAGCGCACGCAGGCGGUUUGUUAAGUCAGAUGUGAAAUCCCCGGGCUCAACCUGGGAACUGCAUUUGAAACUGGCAAGCUAGAGUCUCGUAGAGGGGGGUAGAAUUCCAGGUGUAGCGGUGAAAUGCGUAGAGAUCUGGAGGAAUACCGGUGGCGAAGGCGGCCCCCUGGACGAAGACUGACGCUCAGGUGCGAAAGCGUGGGG